This 464-nucleotide ribosomal RNA is filed under the name uncultured bacterium. RNAcentral's name for it is "partial 16S ribosomal RNA". It matches the Rfam family "Bacterial small subunit ribosomal RNA", at positions 339 to 795 of the family's 1533-position model. The record is from RNAcentral.
CUACGGGUCGCUCCAGUGGGGAAUAUUGCACAAUGGGCGCAAGCCUGAUGCAGCCAUGCCGCGUGUAUGAAGAAGGCCUUCGGGUUGUAAAGUACUUUCAGCGGGGAGGAAGGGAGUAAAGUUAAUACCUUUGCUCAUUGACGUUACCCGCAGAAGAAGCUCCGGCUAACUCCGUGCCAGCAGCCGCGGUAAUACGGAGGGUGCAAGCGGUAAUCGGAAUUACUGGGCGUAAAGCGCACGCAGGCGGUUUGUUAAGUCAAAUGUGAAAUCCCCGGGCUCAAUCUGGGAACUGCAUCUGAUACUGGCAAGCUUGAGUCUCGUAGAGGGGGGUAGAAUUCCAGGUGUAGCGGUGAGAUGCGUAGAGAUCUGGAGGAAUACCGGUGGCGAAGGCGGCCCCCUGGACGAAGACUGACGCUCAGGUGCGAAAGCGUGGGGAGCAAACAGGAUUAGAUACCCCGGUAGUC